AGCGAACGCUGGCGGCAGGCUUAACACAUGCAAGUCGAGCGGGCACUUUCGGGUGUCCGCGGCGGACGGGUGCGUAACGCGUGGGAACGUGCCCUCUGGUUCGGAAUAACUCAGGGAAACUUGAGCUAAUACCGGAUACGCCCUUUUGGGGAAAGGCUUGCUGCCGGAGGAUCGGCCCGCGUCUGAUUAGCUAGUUGGUGAGGUAACGGCUCACCAAGGCGACGAUCAGUAGCUGGUCUGAGAGGAUGAUCAGCCACACUGGGACUGAGACACGGCCCAGAAUCCCAAGGGAGGCAGGAAGGGGGAAUAUUUGAACAUGGGGGGAAGGCUGAUCCAGCCAUGCCGCGGGAGUGAUCAAGGGCUUAGGGUUGGUAAGCUCUUUUAUCCGGGACGAUAAUGACGGUACCGGAGGAAUAAGCCCCGGCUAACUUCGUG
RNAcentral lists this ribosomal RNA (435 nucleotides) under uncultured bacterium. RNAcentral's name for it is "partial 16S ribosomal RNA". It matches the Rfam family "Bacterial small subunit ribosomal RNA", at positions 29 to 507 of the family's 1533-position model. The record is from RNAcentral.